AUUUCGUUUGAUUUGCUUUGUCCUCGUCCUCUGCACAUGAUGCUAACUUGGAUUUUUCUUGGGCAGGUGCCUUUCUCUCUUGAGGACCCAGAUUACAAGGGUCUUGAGCUAGAUCUGAUAGUGCUGUGCGAGAAGCAUGGGAAGCCAUCAGAGAGGCUUGUUGCAUUUGAAGGAACAAUGACUGGGAGAAGGUUCUUAACAUGUGCAGAGCCGGAAGGUCAGAAUUGUGGGUUUGUUUAGUGGGUUGAUGAGCAGUGGCCCCCAACAAUGGAGAAUGCAUUGCUGAAGCUUUGGUCAAUGGUUGAAGAGAGCAAGUCUGCUAGGGUGAAUGAUAAUCUUGAAAGUGCUUUAACUAUUCACCAUUUGACAGAAGAAAAGAAGAAGCUGGAUGCAGACUAUGACAAGUUAGUGAAAGAUGUGCAUCAACUUGUGGACUUUCAGCAGGAUAGGGUUGUGGAUUUCAGUUAUCUGCAGUCCGCUGUCACAUAUCAACACCAAUGCAGAUCUGAAUUGGUGGCUGGUAUGAAUGCAGAAAUGGCAAAGAAAGAUGCAGCUACAGAGAAGCUUCAACAGAAGUAUGAACUCCUGUGCAACCUGACAAAUGCUCAAGCAACUGUCAUCCAAAACCUGAAGUUGAAGAAUAUGAAAGAGAAGGAAUUGAUGAGUGAGGCUAGGAUGAAUUUGGAGUUGAAGAAUGCAGAGUUCACAAAGUUUGAGGAGAAGCUCACCCAAGAGAAGCUAGAGUUGAAUUUCCAGGUUGCUGGUCUGCUGAAGCUCAAGGAAAACCAUAAUGAAGAGAAGCAGAUGUAA
This 810-nucleotide ribosomal RNA is filed under the name Triticum aestivum (bread wheat). RNAcentral describes it as "partial small subunit ribosomal RNA". The record is from RNAcentral. Lineage: Eukaryota; Viridiplantae; Streptophyta; Magnoliopsida; Poales; Poaceae.